RNAcentral lists this ribosomal RNA (477 nucleotides) under uncultured bacterium. Its description in RNAcentral is "bacterial SSU rRNA". It matches the Rfam family "Bacterial small subunit ribosomal RNA", at positions 28 to 502 of the family's 1533-position model. The record is from RNAcentral.
GACGAACGCUGGCGGCGUGCUUAACACAUGCAAGUCGAACGGAGCACCCUUGACUGAGGUUUCGGCCAAAUGAUAGGAAUGCUUAGUGGCGGACUGGUGAGUAACGCGUGAGGAACCUACCUUCCAGAGGGGGACAACAGUUGGAAACGACUGCUAAUACCGCAUGACGCAUGACUGGGGCAUCCCGGGCAUGUCAAAGAUUUUAUCGCUGGAAGAUGGCCUCGCGUCUGAUUAGCUAGAUGGUGGGGUAACGGCCCACCAUGGCGACGAUCAGUAGCCGGACUGAGAGGUUGACCGGCCACAUUGGGACUGAGAUACGGCCCAGACUCCUACGGGAGGCAGCAGUGGGGAAUAUUGGGCAAUGGACGCAAGUCUGACCCAGCAACGCCGCGUGAAGGAAGAAGGCUUUCGGGUUGUAAACUUCUUUUGUCAGGGAAGAGUAGAAGACGGUACCUGACGAAUAAGCCACGGCUAACU